RNAcentral lists this ribosomal RNA (700 nucleotides) under Kocuria palustris. RNAcentral's name for it is "bacterial SSU rRNA". It matches the Rfam family "Bacterial small subunit ribosomal RNA", at positions 101 to 812 of the family's 1533-position model. Lineage: Bacteria; Bacillati; Actinomycetota; Actinomycetes; Micrococcales; Micrococcaceae. The record is from RNAcentral.
AACGGGUGAGUAAUACGUGAGUAACCUGCCCUUGACUCUGGGAUAAGCCCGGGAAACUGGGUCUAAUACUGGAUGCUACAUGUCACCGCAUGGUGGUGUGUGGAAAGGGUUUUACUGGUCUUGGAUGGGCUCACGGCCUAUCAGCUUGUUGGUGAGGUAAUGGCUCACCAAGGCGACGACGGGUAGCCGGCCUGAGAGGGUGACCGGCCACACUGGGACUGAGACACGGCCCAGACUCCUACGGGAGGCAGCAGUGGGGAAUAUUGCACAAUGGGCGGAAGCCUGAUGCAGCGACGCCGCGUGAGGGAUGACGGCCUUCGGGUUGUAAACCUCUUUCAGCAGGGAAGAAGCCACAAGUGACGGUACCUGCAGAAGAAGCGCCGGCUAACUACGUGCCAGCAGCCGCGGUAAUACGUAGGGCGCAAGCGUUGUCCGGAAUUAUUGGGCGUAAAGAGCUCGUAGGCGGUCUGUCGCGUCUGCUGUGAAAGCCCGGGGCUUAACCCCGGGUGUGCAGUGGGUACGGGCAGACUAGAGUGCAGUAGGGGAGACUGGAAUUCCUGGUGUAGCGGUGGAAUGCGCAGAUAUCAGGAGGAACACCGAUGGCGAAGGCAGGUCUCUGGGCUGUUACUGACGCUGAGGAGCGAAAGCAUGGGGAGCGAACAGGAUUAGAUACCCUGGUAGUCCAUGCCGUAAACGUUGG